This 253-nucleotide ribosomal RNA is filed under the name uncultured bacterium. Its description in RNAcentral is "partial 16S ribosomal RNA". It matches the Rfam family "Bacterial small subunit ribosomal RNA", at positions 524 to 776 of the family's 1533-position model. The record is from RNAcentral.
UACGGAGGGUGCGAGCGUUGUCCGGAAUCACUGGGCGUGAAGGGCGCGUAGGCGGCGCGGGCAGUCAACGGUGAAAGCUUGGGGCUCAACCCCGAGUCGGCCGUCGAUACUCCCGGGCUGGAGCACUGUAGAGGCAGGUGGAAUUCCGGGUGUAGCGGUGGAAUGCGUAGAGAUCCGGAAGAACACCGGUGGCGAAGGCGGCCUGCUGGGCAGUAGCUGAUGCUGAGGCGCGACAGCGUGGGGAGCAAACAGG